CUACGGGGUGCAGCAGUGAGGAAUAUUGCACAAUGGGGGGAACCCUGAUGCAGCAACGCCGCGUGGAGGAUGACGCAUUUCGGUGUGUAAACUCCUUUUAUAUGUCAAGAAAAUGACGGUAGCAUAUGAAUAAGCACCGGCUAACUCCGUGCCAGCAGCCGCGGUAAUACGGAGGGUGCAAGCGUUACUCGGAAUCACUGGGCGUAAAGGACGCGUAGGCGAGCUUGUAAGUCAGGUGUGAAAUCCUACAGCUUAACUGUAGAACUGCACUUGAAACUACGAGCCUAGAGUAUGGGAGGGGAAGAUGGAAUUAGUGGUGUAGGGGUAAAAUCCGUAGAUAUCACUAGGAAUACCUAAAGCGAAGGCGAUCUGCUGGAACAUAACUGACGCUAAGGCGUGAAAGCGUGGGGAGCAAACAGGAUUAGAUACCCGUGUAGUC
This 439-nucleotide ribosomal RNA is filed under the name uncultured bacterium. RNAcentral describes it as "partial 16S ribosomal RNA". It matches the Rfam family "Bacterial small subunit ribosomal RNA", at positions 339 to 795 of the family's 1533-position model. The record is from RNAcentral.